Molecule: non-coding RNA, 2500 nt
Organism: Chlorocebus sabaeus (green monkey)
Lineage: Eukaryota; Metazoa; Chordata; Mammalia; Primates; Cercopithecidae
Source: RefSeq, a predicted model, not a curated record
AACCAAAAAAGAUGGAAAAUAUGAAAAAGAGGUUAUGAGACAUGGAGGUUGUGAAUAUGCUUCAACAUGUUUAAUUGGUCUUUAAGAAGAGUAGAGAGAGGAGAAACAGUGGCAAAAUGUGAAGAAGUAAUAGUUAAUAAUUUUCCAGAUGUCAUUAAAUAUACUUGUUCACAAAUUCAAAAAGCUCAGUGAACUCCGAGCAGGAAAAAUAAUAAGAAAUCUACACUGUGAUACAUCGUAGUGCACAUCAGUACAUCAAAUACCUGAAGGAAGAGCUGCAUCACAGUCAGAGAUAAAAGGGAAGGUUUCUUUCAAAUGAGUCAAAGAGAAACAAUCUUCCAGAAAAUAUGCAUAAAAGAAAGGACCUUACAAGGCAACUUGCAUGGAUACUCUGAAGCAACUUUGAGGUCUCCUUGAUGAGGAAAGUUGGCUCAACCUGCUGUAGAGUAGGCCCACAGCCAAGCCAUUGAGAGACAAGUCCAUGGGAGACAAAUUAGCUCAUGCAACUGAGAUGUCCUGGAGAUUUUCCACACCACCACUUGGCCAGUGCCUGGACAAGGCAAUCUUCCCCAGUCCUCAACACAGACACCAAUGGAUCUGAAUUCAGUCAUUGUCGACUGGUGUUCUGCCUGUCCUAGAUGUCAUGUAAGUGGAUCCAAAUAACUGUGUGCUCUUGUGUCUGACUCCUUUUGUUCAGCGUGGUGCUUUUGAGAUUUAUCUAUGUCAUUUGGGGUAUCAGUAAUUCAUAUCUUUUGUUUCCAACUAGGGUUGUGUGAUUAUACCACAAUGUCUUUUGCAAAUUAGUUGUUUCAUUUUAUAUAUUUUAUAUGUAUCAGCAGUUUAUAAGUUAUAAAUAACUUCUUUAUAAAUUACCCAGUUUCAGGUAGUUCUUUGGUGGUGUUUUCCUGUCGCUCUAUGUUCUAUCACCUGAUAUUGUUGGUCUUAUUUUUAGCCAUUUUAGUACUAGAUGCUCCUCAACUCACGAUGGGUUUAUGCCCCAGUAAACCCAUUGUUAAGUUGAAAAAAUCAUAAGUUGAAAAUGCAUUUUUAAUACACCUUAACUAUCAAACAUCAUAGUUUAGCCUAGCCUACCUUAAACAGGCUCACAACACUUACAUUAUUCUAUGGUUGAGCAAAAUCAUCUGGCAACACAGCAAACUGUAGAGUAUCUCUUGUUUACCCUGGUGAUCUUGUGGCUGACUGGAAGCCUUAGCUCCCUGCCGCUGCCCAACACCGCAAGAGGGUAUUCUACUGCUUUCUACUGAAUGUGUAUUGCUUUUGCAUCAUUUUAAAGUAAAAAAAAAGUUACAUGUCAAGUCAUCAAAAGUUGUUUUGAUGGGAUUUUCUGUUUGCGUAGUAAUAUUUCACUUUAGUUGUAAUUUCUGUAUACCUGACAGCUAAUUGUGAAUGUUUACAUUUAUUUACUUGACAUUUCAUACCUUCUUUUAUGAAAUUGUUGUUCACAUUUUUGUCCAGUUUCUAAACCACAGUUUACUUUAUCAUUAUUAAUACGUUUUUCUUUUAUAAAAUUUGAAUAUAUAAGUCCCAUAUAAAGUCAACUUAUUUUUUUUUUCUUGCAUGGCUAGUGCUAUACAAGAUGAUAAAGAUAUACACCUACAUUUUCUUUCUUUAAGUUUAUAUUUCAGCUCAUAUGUUAAAUCUAUAAUCCAUUUUGAGUUAAUUUUGUGGAUGAGGUGAGGUAAGAAUAGAUACACAACUUUUAGGUUGAUAUUCAGUUGUCCUAGCACUAGUUUAUUGAAGAUAAUUCUUUUCCCAUUAAAUGUCCUUGAACUUUUUCAAAAAAGCAAUUGACUAUAUGUGUUUGCGUGUUGAUACGGUUUGAGUCUGUGUCCCCACCCAAAGCAUGUCAAAUUGAAAUCCCCAGUGUUGGAGGUGGGGCCUGGUGGGGAGUGAUUGGUUCGUGGGGACAAAUUUUCCCUUUGGUAUUGUUUUUAUGACAGUGGGUGACUUAUGAAAUCUGGUUGUUUAAAAGUGCGUAACGCCUCCCCACUCUCUCUUCCUCCUGCUCUGGCCAUGUAAGACAUGACUGCUUGCCCUUCGCCUUCCAUCAUGAUUGAAAGUUUCCUGAGGUCUCCCCAAACAUGCUUCCCGUACAGCUUGUAGAACUGUGAACAAAUGAAAUCUCCUUUCUUUAUAAAUUACCCAGUUUCAGGUAGUUCUUUAUAGUAGUGAGGGAAUGGACUAAUACAGUUAUAUCCUGUUCCAUCUUUUUUCUAAUGCUUUGCUGCAUUGUCUUAUAACACAGCUUUAUAAUCUUGAAAUCAUAUCCUGUAAGCCCUCAAAAUCUGCUAUUGAAGGUCCUUUGUAUUUCCAUAUAAAUUUGACAAUUAUCUGGUUGAUUUUCUCAAAAAUUAUUUUGGCUUCCAAAAUUUGAAAGCAGCCUAAGUGUUAUCAGGAGUUGAAUGGAUAAAUAAAAUGCAGUACAAAUGCACAAUGGAGUACUAUUCGGCAGUAGAAAGAAUGAAAUCCUGUCAUUUGC